GUCGGCUGGGCCGAGCCCAACCCAUUUCUUCUUCUUUCUCUUCUCCCUCCCUCCCGAUUUUUCUUCUCUUCUCACCCGGUUUUCCCCUCUCUACACCCAGCAGAAUUCCGGCCGUCCUCCCGCCGCCGUCCGACCUCCGUUCGCCGCCGGACCGGUCCCGUUCGGUCGGUCUCCCUCCCAGCAACAUUUCUAGACCGGUGACAGCCUCCCUAGCGCCGCCGUGAGUGAGCGGUGCCGCCCGAAAGCUUCGACUGCCGAAUCGGUUUUUUCGCCGGAACUUCCUCCUCCGGCCACCAAUCCGGGCAAGCUUGGUAUGGUUUUGUAGCCCUCCAACCCAGCAACCUUGCCCUAAAAGGACUCACUCCCUCUUGAGCUAGGUAAGGAGAAAUUUGAGGUGGAAGUUUUAUGGUUUUUUUGAUGUUUUUAGUCGAUUGCCCUAGUUAGGCUUGGAAUUGGUGUUUGUGCUAGUUAUGAAAGUUGUAGAGCUUGAUGAGAGGAAGAUGCUGUUAAAAUUUCAUAGGUUUUGGAGGUCGCCGGAAUUGACCUCCGGCCGCCGCCGGUUGGGAGAUUUUAAUGUUGAUUAAAUUUGGAAUAUUAAGGGGAGUUUAUUGAAGUGAGUUAUGGAAUUUUUGGAUGAGUUUUGGAUAGGUUUAUGAAUUUCCGAAGUGUGGUAUUUUUGGCGGGUAAUUAAUGUAGAAUCCGGCCGUUGGAUUUAAGUCGUAUUUUGGAGAGGUUGUAUUUACGACUGUGGAGUAUGAUAUUUAAGUUCGGAUCGUCCGAUGUAAGAAUAUCGAAGUUAGGCAAUAAUGAGCGUAAUUAUGGCUCUCGGGUAAUUUUGCCUAUUUUGAUUAAAUAUUGGAUAUUGGUUGGGAAAUUAAUAUUAUAUUUGGAACAGGACGUGAAGAGGCUCGAGCAGACGAGACCCCAGAUUGACAUCAGGCUUAGGCCUAAUUCGUGAGUGGACGUUUAUUUUAAAUAAA
RNAcentral lists this long non-coding RNA (980 nucleotides) under Fragaria vesca (wild strawberry). RNAcentral's name for it is "long non-coding RNA (FVES_LNC004278)". Lineage: Eukaryota; Viridiplantae; Streptophyta; Magnoliopsida; Rosales; Rosaceae. The record is from RNAcentral.